UCUAUCCAUCUAUAGACACCUAUAUAUGGUGUAUGCUUCAUUUGAAUAUCUGAAGAGCUAAAAGUUGUAAAGGAGUUGUGAGAAUUUCAUGUUAAACGGCUUCUAUUUUGUGAAGCUCCAAUGGAAAGUUUCAAUAAUUUUUAAGAGAUGAAAAUUUUGUAGGGUUUUCAGCGAAUUUCACAUCUUCCUUUCAAUUUUCAUCGGACUUGAAUGUUAUUUUCAUCUGACAUGAUCACUAUUCAGCAUCAGUCUAUGGAAUCUUGUGAGUUGGAAGAUUACUGUGUCUCCAUCGUUAGGAGAAUCAAGGAAUUUUAUCGUUGGCCUGGAGAUAUAAGGGAGCUUCUGAUGUAUCUGAAGCAUGCGAUGGAUUCCAAAGAUUCAGAUCUUAAUUCCAUCUCCACGCAAUCAGAAGGAAUUGAAGAUGAGAUGAAAGCAGCUGCACAAGAUAUUGCCAGUUAUCAGGUUUCUUUUUUAGGAUGCAGUUUCUGGGUUUAUUUUUCUCUUUUUUUUGUCGUUACAAACAUAAAAACACAACACUUAAAUAUAAUAGUGUAACACCCCGCAUCGUCCAUGCGUUAGCUUGAGGUAGCAUGCUCCUAGGUUAAAUGGCUAGAAUAGUAUCUAAGAGACAGCCUCAUGUCGUUGACUUUCAAAGUGAGUAAAGUUUAAACCAUAUACAAUUUCCCUAAU
Long non-coding RNA from Capsicum annuum, 690 nucleotides. RefSeq lists it as uncharacterized. The transcript has 2 exons. The record is from RefSeq and is a predicted model, not a curated record. Lineage: Eukaryota; Viridiplantae; Streptophyta; Magnoliopsida; Solanales; Solanaceae.